AUUGGGAGGCAUCCCUGCCACCUUUUGGACGGUAUGGCUCAUUAGCACAGAGUUUACCGGCUGGGCCAUGUUGGGAAGGCUGAGCUGCUCGUAAUAGUCACCAAUGAAGGUGAUGCCAAGACCUUCAAGGCUUCAGGUUCAUUUAGACUGCGCGACAAUUGGACGUGGUCUGCAUUCUGCCUAAUGAACAUUGCUCAAAAGGACCACUGGAAAACAUCACCAAAAGGGUCCGAAAAAAUAUUUGCAAAAACUCAAUAAAGAGCACCAAGGACUGGACAGAGAAUAUGAAGAAAAAUAGUAGAGUGUUUGCCUGUUUACUGAUUAUAAAUACUCUUCCUAAUGCUGUGGAAUG
Long non-coding RNA from Carcharodon carcharias (great white shark), 352 nucleotides. RefSeq lists it as uncharacterized. NCBI's taxonomy places the organism in Eukaryota, Metazoa, Chordata, Chondrichthyes, Lamniformes, Lamnidae. The transcript has 3 exons. The record is from RefSeq and is a predicted model, not a curated record.